RNAcentral lists this ribosomal RNA (505 nucleotides) under uncultured Diversisporaceae. Its description in RNAcentral is "SSU rRNA". It matches the Rfam family "Eukaryotic small subunit ribosomal RNA", at positions 569 to 1078 of the family's 1831-position model. Lineage: Eukaryota; Fungi; Glomeromycota; Glomeromycetes; Diversisporales. The record is from RNAcentral.
AGCAGCCGCGGUAAUUCCAGCUCCAAUAGCGUAUAUUAAAGUUGUUGCAGUUAAAAAGCUCGUAGUUGAACCUCGGGGUCUACCCAUUGGUCAGGCUUAAUUGUCUGCACUGGUGAGAUGGAUCUCUACCUUCUGAGGAACUUUCAUGCCAUUUAUUUGGUGUGAUGGGAAAUCAGGACUGUUACUUUGAAAAAAUUAGAGUGUUUAAAGCAGACUAUCGUCUGAAUACAUUAGCAUGGAAUAAUAAAAUAGGACGGACUGAUUCUAUUUCGUUGGUUUCUAGGAUCACCGUAAUGAUUAAUAGGGAUAGUUGGGGGCAUUAGUAUUCGAUUGUCAGAGGUGAAAUUCUUGGAUUUAUUGAAGACUAACUACUGCGAAAGCAUUUGCCAAGGAUGUUUUCAUUAAUCAAGAACGAAAGUUAGGGGAUCGAAGACGAUCAGAUACCGUCGUAGUCUUAACCAUAAACUAUGCCGACUAGGGAUCGGAUGAUGUAAUUUUUUAAUGA